GCGGUACGGGCGGCAGGUGCCGGCGCAGCGCCUGGCGGGUGCUGCGCCAGCCGCUCGGCCGGCCGUGCCGCA
This 72-nucleotide transfer RNA is filed under the name Actinoplanes nipponensis. Its description in RNAcentral is "tRNA-Ala". Lineage: Bacteria; Bacillati; Actinomycetota; Actinomycetes; Micromonosporales; Micromonosporaceae. The record is from RNAcentral.